UACGUAGGGUGCGAGCGUUAAUCGGAAUUACUGGGCGUAAAGCGUGCGCAGGCGGUUUUGUAAGACAGCUGUGAAAUCCCCGGGCUCAACCUGGGAACUGCGGUUGUGACUGCAAGACUGGAGUGUGGCAGAGGGGGGUGGAAUUCCACGUGUAGCAGUGAAAUGCGUAGAGAUGUGGAGGAACACCGAUGGCGAAGGCAGCCCCCUGGGUCAACACUGACGCUCAUGCACGAAAGCGUGGGGAGCAAACAGG
This 253-nucleotide ribosomal RNA is filed under the name uncultured bacterium. RNAcentral describes it as "partial 16S ribosomal RNA". It matches the Rfam family "Bacterial small subunit ribosomal RNA", at positions 524 to 776 of the family's 1533-position model. RNAcentral also lists the same sequence under 1 other name. The record is from RNAcentral.